Small nucleolar RNA from Lycium barbarum (goji berry), 116 nucleotides. RefSeq annotates it as small nucleolar RNA snoR2/U65. The transcript has a single exon. The record is from RefSeq and is a predicted model, not a curated record. NCBI's taxonomy places the organism in Eukaryota, Viridiplantae, Streptophyta, Magnoliopsida, Solanales, Solanaceae.
CGACAGAUACUAUGAUUGGACCAAUAACAAGUUUUAAUUUAACAUUUCGCAUUUUGAUAUGCAUCUGUGUAUGGAUCUUUAAUUCCUUCACAGAGCCGUUUCGUGCGAUUACAUUU